AACGUAGGACGCAAGCGUUAUCCGGAGUUACUGGGCGUAAAGGGCGGGCAGGCGGUCCAGCAAGUGGGGUGUGAAAUCUCCCAGCUUAACUGGGAGAGGCCAUUCCAAACUGCUGGACUGGAGGGCAGUAGAGGUAGGCGGAAUUCCGGGUGGAGUGGUGAAAUGCGUAGAGAUCCGGAGGAACACCAGAGGCGAAGGCGGCCUACUGGGCUGCACCUGACGCUGAACCGCGAAAGCUAGGGGAGCGAACGGG
RNAcentral lists this ribosomal RNA (253 nucleotides) under uncultured bacterium. RNAcentral describes it as "partial 16S ribosomal RNA". It matches the Rfam family "Bacterial small subunit ribosomal RNA", at positions 524 to 776 of the family's 1533-position model. The record is from RNAcentral.